This 779-nucleotide ribosomal RNA is filed under the name uncultured Neocallimastigales. RNAcentral describes it as "partial large subunit ribosomal RNA". It matches the Rfam family "Eukaryotic large subunit ribosomal RNA", at positions 24 to 647 of the family's 3401-position model. The record is from RNAcentral. Lineage: Eukaryota; Fungi; Neocallimastigomycota; Neocallimastigomycetes; Neocallimastigales.
GGUAGUCUCGCACAGAUGCAUAUCAAUAAGCGGAGGAAAAGAAACUAACAAGGAUUCCCCUAGUAACGGCGAGUGAAGCGGGAAGAGCUCAAAUUUGAAAUCUUAAAGGGUUUCCCUUUACGAAUUGUAGUUUAAAGGAAGUGUUUUCUGUUGAGGUUUUGGUAAAAGUUCUUUGGAAUAGGACAUCAUAGAGGGUGAGAAUCCCGUAUUUGACCUUUACUUUCAACUUUGUGAUACACUUUCAAAGAGUCGGAUUGUUUGGGAAUGCAGUCCAAAAUGGGUGGUAAAUUUCAUCUAAAGCUAAAUAUUGGCGAGAGACCGAUAGCGAACAAGUACCGUGAGGGAAAGAUGAAAAGAACUUUGAAAAGAGAGUUAAACAGUACGUGAAAUUGUCAAAAGGGAAGCGUUUGACACCAGUGUUGUUUUUCUGAAAAUCAAUUAAAGAACUGUUUAUGCUAAGCUGUUUAGACUUUAUCAGCUAUCUGUUUAGUUUUGAGCUUUUCUUUAAUGCACUUUUCAGUUAACAAGUCAACAUCAAUUUCUUUUGCUGUAAAAAAGCUUGAGGAAGGUGGCUUGAGAUUCGUCUUAAGUGUUUAUAGCCUCUUGCCUAUGCAGUCGGGAGAGAUUGAGGUCUGCAGCGUAGAUCCUUCGGGGCUAAAUGCAUUUGUGCUAAGUUAUAGCAUUUUAUAGACAACUUGUUGGACUAUGAUUUGUCUUGUAGCUUACUCGCUCUAUGCUAUUUUACCUACGCUUAGGAUGUUGAUCUGUAGUGCGUGCGC